GGGAAACGGCAUACCAAGGCGACGAUGCGUAGCCGACAUGAGAGGGUGACCGGCCACACUGGGAAUGAGACACGGCCCAGACUCCUACGGGAGGCAGCAGUAGGGAAUUUUCCACAAUGGACGAAAGUCUGAUGGAGCAACGCCGCGUGAACGAUGAAGGUCUUCGGAUUGUAAAGUUCUGUUGUCAGGGACGAACACGUACCGUUCGAAUAGGGCGGUACCUUGACGGUACCUGACGAGAAAGCCACGGCUAACUACGUGCCAGCAGCCGCGGUAAUACGUAGGUGGCAAGCGUUGUCCGGAUUUAUUGGGCGUAAAGCGCGCGCAGGCGGUUCCUUAAGUCUGAUGUGAAAUCUCGCGGCUCAACCGCGAGCGGCCAUUGGAAACUGGGGAACUUGAGUGCAGGAGAGGGGAGCGGAAUUCCACGUGUAGCGGUGAAAUGCGUAGAGAUGUGGAGGAACACCAGUGGCGAAGGCGGCUCUCUGGCCUGUAACUGACGCUGAGGCGCGAAAGCGUGGGGAGCGAACAGGAUUAGAUACCCUGGUAGUCCACGCCGUAAACGAUGAGUGCUAAGUGUUAGAGGGUAUCCACCCUUUAGUGCUGCAGCAAACGCAUUAAGCACUCCGCCUGGGGAGUACGGCCGCAAGGCUGAAACUCAAAGGAAUUGACGG
RNAcentral lists this ribosomal RNA (671 nucleotides) under uncultured bacterium. Its description in RNAcentral is "bacterial SSU rRNA". It matches the Rfam family "Bacterial small subunit ribosomal RNA", at positions 255 to 916 of the family's 1533-position model. The record is from RNAcentral.